GGUUAAGCGACUAAGCGUACACGGUGGAUGCCCUGGCAGUCAGAGGCGAUGAAGGACGUGCUAAUCUGCGAAAAGCGUCGGUAAGGUGAUAUGAACCGUUAUAGCCGGCGAUGUCCGAAUGGGGAAACCCAGUGCAAUUCGUUGCACUAUCGUUAACUGAAUACAUAGGUUAACGAGGCGAACCGGGGGAACUGAAACAUCUAAGUACCCCGAGGAAAAGAAAUCAACCGAGAUUCCCCCAGUAGCGGCGAGCGAACGGGGAGCAGCCCAGAGUCUGAAUCAGCUUGUGUGUUAGUGGAACGGUCUGGAAAGUCCGACGGUACAGGGUGAUAGUCCCGUACACCAAAAUGCACAGGUUGUGAACUCGAAGAGUAGGGCGGGACACGUGGUAUCCUGUCUGAAUAUGGGGGGACCAUCCUCCAAGGCUAAAUACUCCUGACUGACCGAUAGUGAACCAGUACCGUGAGGGAAAGGCGAAAAGAACCCCGGCGAGGGGAGUGAAAAAGAACCUGAAACCGUGUACGUACAAGCAGUGGGAGCACCUUCGGGUGUGACUGCGUACCUUUUGUAUAAUGGGUCAGCGACUUAUAUUCUGUAGCAAGGUUAACCGUAUAGGGGAGCCGCAGGGAAACCGAGUCUUAACUGGGCGUUAAGUUGCAGGGUAUAGACCCGAAACCCGGUGAUCUAGCCAUGGGCAGGUUGAAGGUUGGGUAACACUAACUGGAGGACCGAACCGACUAAUGUUGAAAAAUUAGCGGAUGACUUGUGGCUGGGGGUGAAAGGCCAAUCAAACCGGGAGAUAGCUGGUUCUCCCCGAAAGCUAUUUAGGUAGCGCCUCGUGAACUCAUCUUCGGGGGUAGAGCACUGUUUCGGCUAGGGGGUCAUCCCGACUUACCAACCCGAUGCAAACUACGAAUACCGAAGAAUGUUAUCACGGGAGACACACGGCGGGUGCUAACGUCCGUCGUGAAGAGGGAAACAACCCAGACCGCCAGCUAAGGUCCCAAAGUCAUGGUUAAGUGGGAAACGAUGUGGGAAGGCACAGACAGCCAGGAUGUUGGCUUAGAAGCAGCCAUCAUUUAAAGAAAGCGUAAUAGCUCACUGGUCGAGUCGGCCUGCGCGGAAGAUGUAACGGGGCUAAACCAUGCACCGAAGCUGCGGCAGCGACACUAUGUGUUGUUGGGUAGGGGAGCGUUCUGUAAGCCUGCGAAGGUGACCUGUGAGGGUUGCUGGAGGUAUCAGAAGUGCGAAUGCUGACAUAAGUAACGAUAAAGCGGGUGAAAAGCCCGCUCGCCGGAAGACCAAGGGUUCCUGUCCAACGUUAAUCGGGGCAGGGUGAGUCGACCCCUAAGGCGAGGCCGAAAGGCGUAGUCGAUGGGAAACAGGUUAAUAUUCCUGUACUUGGUGUUACUGCGAAGGGGGGACGGAGAAGGCUAUGUUAGCCGGGCGACGGUUGUCCCGGUUUAAGCAUGUAGGCUGAUUGUCCAGGCAAAUCCGGAUAAUCAAGGCUGAGGUGUGAUGACGAGGCACUACGGUGCUGAAGUAACAAAUGCCCUGCUUCCAGGAAAAGCCUCUAAGCAUCAGGUAACAUCAAAUCGUACCCCAAACCGACACAGGUGGUCAGGUAGAGAAUACCAAGGCGCUUGAGAGAACUCGGGUGAAGGAACUAGGCAAAAUGGUGCCGUAACUUCGGGAGAAGGCACGCUGGUGUGUAGGUGAAGUCCCUGCGGAUGGAGCUGAGACCAGUCGAAGAUACCAGCUGGCUGCAACUGUUUAUUAAAAACACAGCACUGUGCAAACACGAAAGUGGACGUAUACGGUGUGACGCCUGCCCGGUGCCGGAAGGUUAAUUGAUGGGGUUAUCCGUAAGGAGAAGCUCUUGAUCGAAGCCCCGGUAAACGGCGGCCGUAACUAUAACGGUCCUAAGGUAGCGAAAUUCCUUGUCGGGUAAGUUCCGACCUGCACGAAUGGCGUAAUGAUGGCCAGGCUGUCUCCACCCGAGACUCAGUGAAAUUGAACUCGCUGUGAAGAUGCAGUGUACCCGCGGCAAGACGGAAAGACCCCGUGAACCUUUACUAUAGCUUGACACUGAACAUUGAGCCUUGAUGUGUAGGAUAGGUGGGAGGCUUUGAAGCGUGGACGCCAGUCUGCGUGGAGCCAACCUUGAAAUACCACCCUUUAAUGUUUGAUGUUCUAACGUUGGCCCCUGACCGGGGUUGCGGACAGUGUCUGGUGGGUAGUUUGACUGGGGCGGUCUCCUCCCAAAGCGUAACGGAGGAGCACGAAGGUUAGCUAAUCCUGGUCGGACAUCAGGAGGUUAGUGCAAUGGCAUAAGCUAGCUUGACUGCGAGCGUGACGGCGCGAGCAGGUGCGAAAGCAGGUCAUAGUGAUCCGGUGGUUCUGAAUGGAAGGGCCAUCGCUCAACGGAUAAAAGGUACUCCGGGGAUAACAGGCUGAUACCGCCCAAGAGUUCAUAUCGACGGCGGUGUUUGGCACCUCGAUGUCGGCUCAUCACAUCCUGGGGCUGAAGUAGGUCCCAAGGGUAUGGCUGUUCGCCAUUUAAAGUGGUACGCGAGCUGGGUUUAGAACGUCGUGAGACAGUUCGGUCCCUAUCUGCCGUGGGCGCUGGAGAAUUGAGGGGGGCUGCUCCUAGUACGAGAGGACCGGAGUGGACGCAUCACUGGUGUUCGGGUUGUCAUGCCAAUGGCACUGCCCGGUAGCUAAAUGCGGAAGAGAUAAGUGCUGAAAGCAUCUAAGCACGAAACUUGCCCCGAGAUGAGUUCUCCCUGAGACUUUAAGUCUCCUGAAGGAACGUUAAAGACGAUGACGUUGAUAGGCCGGGUGUGUAAGCGCAGCGAUGCGUUGAGCUAACCGGUACUAAUGAACCGUGAGGCUUAACCUU
Molecule: ribosomal RNA, 2902 nt
Filed under: Klebsiella pneumoniae
Lineage: Bacteria; Pseudomonadati; Pseudomonadota; Gammaproteobacteria; Enterobacterales; Enterobacteriaceae
Description: 23S ribosomal RNA
Rfam family: Bacterial large subunit ribosomal RNA
Source: RNAcentral